UACGUAGGUGACCAGCGUUGUCCGGAUUUACUGGGCGUAAAGAGCGCGUAGGCGGCCAAGCAGGUCCGUUGUGAAAACUGGAGGCUUAACCUCCAGACGUCGACGGAAACCGCGUGGCUAGAGUCCGGAAGAGGAGAGUGGAAUUCCUGGUGUAGCGGUGAAAUGCGCAGAUAUCAGGAAGAACACCAAUGGCGAAGGCAGCUCUCUGGGACGGUACUGACGCUGAGACGCGAAAGCGUGGGGAGCAAACAGG
RNAcentral lists this ribosomal RNA (253 nucleotides) under uncultured bacterium. RNAcentral's name for it is "partial 16S ribosomal RNA". It matches the Rfam family "Bacterial small subunit ribosomal RNA", at positions 524 to 776 of the family's 1533-position model. The record is from RNAcentral.